UACGUAGGGUGCAAGCGUUGUCCGGAAUUAUUGGGCGUAAAGAGCUCGUAGGCGGUCUGUCGCGUCGGCUGUGAAAUCCCGAGGCUCAACCUCGGGUCUGCAGUCGAUACGGGCAAACUGGAGUGUUGCAGGGGAGACUGGAAUUCCUGGUGUAGCGGUGAAAUGCGCAGAUAUCAGGAGGAACACCAGUGGCGAAGGCGGUGCUCUGGGCCGGAACUGACGCUGAGGAGCGAAAGCGUGGGGAGCAAACAGG
RNAcentral lists this ribosomal RNA (253 nucleotides) under uncultured bacterium. RNAcentral describes it as "partial 16S ribosomal RNA". It matches the Rfam family "Bacterial small subunit ribosomal RNA", at positions 524 to 776 of the family's 1533-position model. The record is from RNAcentral.